This 461-nucleotide ribosomal RNA is filed under the name uncultured Flavobacteriaceae bacterium. RNAcentral describes it as "bacterial SSU rRNA". It matches the Rfam family "Bacterial small subunit ribosomal RNA", at positions 338 to 795 of the family's 1533-position model. Lineage: Bacteria; Pseudomonadati; Bacteroidota; Flavobacteriia; Flavobacteriales; Flavobacteriaceae. The record is from RNAcentral.
CCUACGGGCGGCUGCAGUGAGGAAUAUUGGUCAAUGGACGCAAGUCUGAACCAGCCAUGCCGCGUGCAGGAUGACUGCCUUAUGGGUUGUAAACUGCUUUUAUUCAGGAAGAAACAUUCCUACGAGUUGGGAAUUUGACGGUACUGUUUGAAUAAGGAUCGGCUAACUCCGUGCCAGCAGCCGCGGUAAUACGGAGGAUCCAAGCGUUAUCCGGAAUCAUUGGGUUUAAAGGGUCCGUAGGCGGGUAGAUUAGUCAGCGGUGAAAGUUUAUGGCUUAACCAUAAAAUUGCCGUUGAUACUGUUUAUCUUGAAUAAGUGUGAAGUGGUUAGAAUGAGUAGUGUAGCGGUGAAAUGCAUAGAUAUUACUCGGAAUACCAAUUGCGAAGGCAGAUCACUAACACUUUAUUGACGCUGAGGGACGAAAGCGUGGGGAGCAAACAGGAUUAGAUACCCCGGUAGUC